Physeter macrocephalus (sperm whale) is the source of this 1166-nucleotide long non-coding RNA. RefSeq lists it as uncharacterized. NCBI's taxonomy places the organism in Eukaryota, Metazoa, Chordata, Mammalia, Artiodactyla, Physeteridae. The record is from RefSeq and is a predicted model, not a curated record. The transcript has 5 exons.
AAUGAAAGGCGGAAGCGGGGUUCCUUGUGCUGUUGGCGCAACGCUCGCUCGCUAGGAGACCUCGCCUGCGCCUUCCGCGCCAUCUUGGCGGCCUUGGUGCCUGAAGAGUCGCGAGUGGUGGUCCCUGAAAAGGCUUCGCUUCCCGCUGUUCCUUUGAUUUUAGACGAUGCGCCCUCUUGAGGGGAAGCUGAGGCUGACAGCGGUGCGGAGAAGGAACCGGGAGGGCGGCAACGGCGAGGGAGGCGGGGACUGGGCGGGCUGCUGGCGCCAAGCGGGGAACUGGAGGGGCACCGGGCUGGCGGAGAAUCUGGGUGAGAGGGCGCGGUGAGGGGCCUGGCGAAAAGACGUCUCCCUGGCUUUCGACCUUGACUUUUAACCCGGAGAAACCUAUCAAACCCAAAUCAUUUCUGCCUUGACGAUUCAAAGUAUACUUUACUCUCAAACGCUGGACUCAAAGCUAAAGGAUGUUCUGUGUUGAAGAAAAUUUAAACAAAGGGAAUUUAAUCAACGAAGUAAAUUUGAUCUUCCGGCAUAUUCCCAAGGCUGCUUAUUUACUGUACACGUGUGUAGAAAUAAGGGUGCAAGACUGAGUACAAGACAGAACGUUAAUUAAGAGCUAAAUUAAAAGUACCAGGGAAAUUCAGUAAAGGGAGAAUGCAGUUUGUCCUGGAAUCAGCAAGGAAGCUCUCGAAGAGGGCAUUACUGAGGAUUAUAGCCUGGAAACAGCCUCACAGCUCUGAGGAACUGUUUCGAAGAGGUAAAGGAAGAGCCAGGAUAUACAGGAGUUUUUGCACAAAAAACAAAAAAACAACAGGACCAAUAUGGUGAUUUUCCAUCCUGAAUCUCCUCAGGGCGCACCAGGAGGGCUGCAGUGCCUGACAGCUUUAUGACUGCAACAUUCUUUGGUUACUGAUAUGGCAGCUCACAGGGAAACAUUCUGACCCUGCCCACCUGUGAAUGGCUGCAAGAAAGAAGAAAUUAACACAUCCCCUCCCUGAGGCUGGCUAAACCAGGAGAUGUUUUGCAAGACUUAUGGCCUUUGUACUUUACUUCCUCACCUCCUCCCCCAUCUCUGUCCUAUAAAAGAAACUAGCAUCCAGACCCCUAUAAGAUGGUACUCUAGGAUGCUAGUCUGCCAUCUUCUUGGAUGCCUGGCUUCCCCAAUA